AUGAGGAGGAAGAGGCGAGCGUCUUCAGGAAGACCAGGCAUCCUUCCUCCAAGACGUCUCAGUACGAAAACACUCUGCGAUUGUCAGCGCCCAGAACGAGGAGCCGCGGCCCUCAGGAGCCGGGGUCCCUUCACACACCUCUGUGUGAGAACAACUGUCCCAUUUGGCACGUUGAUCCCCGAGUGAGAAACGUCAUCAUCACCGCUCGAUUGCUGCAGCUCUCACAGCCCAAACAGACCCAUCCUGACUACUGCAGCAACAGGGAGAGUGCUGCUUCCAUCGUCUCCUUAGCGUCCAGAACAGCUCGGAUAUCUCAGCGACUCGCCCAGUUGUCGCUGCCCAAACUGAAGCAGAGCAACAUCUGCUACCAACUGGGGCGCUUCGAGGAACCAAUCUGGAUUGUCUCAAGAGCAGCAAAAAAGGGUUCAGCAAGUGUUCGAGUUGAGACGCUGGCAGCACCAAAGCAGCUUCAUAAAGACUACAUUCCUCCACAAGAGCCAGAGUGGAGCCUGAGAGAUGCUAAGACCAAUAAGCUUCUGUGGAAAUACUAAGAAAAUUCUCUAUUUCUGAAAAUUGUUCCCAAAUUGUUUGUUUCUUCAGAGUUUUGCCUUUAUUUCUGAUUAUAUAUAUAGCACUGUGAAAGUGUUUACCUGAUGACAGCCAUCUUCUGUUCUUUCUGCUUUUUUGUCACACUUAAAUGCUUCACAUCAUCAAACAAAUUACUAGUAUUGGAUAAAGUUAAAUACAAGUAAAUACAAAAAUGUGAAAAAGUAAUGCCCCUUUUUUAAAGUCCUAAAUUAAGAGGACUUAUAAUGCAAAAUUCACAUUUUUCAUGUUUUAUACUUGGAUUUGGAUCUCUGCUGCUUCUAAAAACAACCGAAGCACUUAAAAAAAUAAAACAUCCACCAAUUUUUUUGGCAAUAAGUUAAUAUUUUUUGGUAACUGGAAACUGAGCCAUUUCCAAAACCUCCCAACUGUUCAGUCACAUUCAACAAACACUGCACCGUUACCUAGCAACCCCAGAAAAUUCCAGCAUGUUACCUAGCAACCCAAGCUGAGUUCUACCCCAUUUGUUCAGCUGGUUUUCAAAAUUCAAAUUCCAAACUACUUUAUUUAUCCCAAAGGGAAAUUAAAUAUCACUGAAUGAGGUGUACAAUGGCUGCUGGAAAAGACAAGUAUUUUAUUGUUAAUGUACCAUUCAGAAAUCAUAGUUUGUACAGUUAAAAUGUCACCUGUAAAUUGUAUCAGAGUUUUAGAGUUUUACAAUAAUCCCCACACAAUAAAUCUCAUGCAUCCAUUUCUGGGAAUGAAACUUUGAAUUGCUGUAAUUUCAUGAUUGAAAAAUAUUGCCGUUUUAAAUUUCUGAGCUUCUAGCAGAGAAAUCAAACCCCUCAGAAAUAAAACAUGUCUCUCACUGCAAGCUGGAAGCAGGGAUCCACGUGGU
This is a long non-coding RNA of Xiphophorus maculatus (southern platyfish), 1444 nucleotides long. RefSeq lists it as uncharacterized. The record is from RefSeq and is a predicted model, not a curated record. NCBI's taxonomy places the organism in Eukaryota, Metazoa, Chordata, Actinopteri, Cyprinodontiformes, Poeciliidae. The transcript is spliced from 4 exons.